Long non-coding RNA from Octodon degus (degu), 229 nucleotides. RefSeq lists it as uncharacterized. Lineage: Eukaryota; Metazoa; Chordata; Mammalia; Rodentia; Octodontidae. The record is from RefSeq and is a predicted model, not a curated record. The transcript has 3 exons.
GGGACAUUUUAGACCUAGUGGCCAGAUUUGGUCCAAAGAUGUCUUUGGUUAGUUUUGGGCAGUGUUUUAAAGAUGUGACCAGCCAACUUCAGGGAAGUCCUGAGCAGCAGACACUGUGGGCCCAGCCUGCCAGGCUCGACGAGCAGGGCCUUCAUGCAGGCCCAGGCGGAGGUGGGUCCCAGGGUCCCAGACUCCUACCUUCCCUCCCAGAGGCCAGGGCCAGGCCCAG